RNAcentral lists this unclassified non-coding RNA (426 nucleotides) under Hevea brasiliensis (rubber tree). The record is from RNAcentral. Lineage: Eukaryota; Viridiplantae; Streptophyta; Magnoliopsida; Malpighiales; Euphorbiaceae.
GCCUCCGAAGAAGAAAACAAAAACAAAUACUGAUCAGUCAACGAAACAAGGAAAGGUGGAUGCUUCUCCAUUGAGGGGUGGUGGAGUUUCCUCCAGAAAAUCCAAGAGUGCAGCAACGAAGUCUGGACGAAAAUCAAAGGAAGUGGAUAAAAUGGAUGGCAAAUCAAUGGAUGAUUCAAAAACUGUUAAAAAAGCCGAGGAUGAUAAUGCUGCCAUAAUUAAAAGUGGAAGUAAAUCUGCUGAUGUUACUUCAAAAACAGGCAGCAAAUCAAAGAAUGAUGACAUCACGCCAUCCAAGACUGGAAAGUCCAAAGAGGAAGAGAUGAGGACACCCAAAGCCUCCAAGUCCAAGCAAGAAACCGUGAAGUCUGGCAAAUCCAAGCAAGAUACCCCAAAGAUUAGCUCUAAUGCCAAGGGUAAAUCCCC